This 253-nucleotide ribosomal RNA is filed under the name uncultured bacterium. RNAcentral describes it as "partial 16S ribosomal RNA". It matches the Rfam family "Bacterial small subunit ribosomal RNA", at positions 524 to 776 of the family's 1533-position model. The record is from RNAcentral.
UACAGAGGGGGCAAGCGUUGUUCGGAAUUACUGGGCGUAAAGGGCGCGUAGGCGGCCAACUAAGUCAGACGUGAAAUCCCUCGGCUUAACCGGGGAACUGCGUCUGAUACUGGUUGGCUUGAAUCCGGGAGAGGGAUGUGGAAUUCCAGGUGUAGCGGUGAAAUGCGUAGAUAUCUGGAGGAACACCGGUGGCGAAGGCGGCAUCCUGGACCGGUAUUGACGCUGAGGAGCGAAAGCCAGGGGAGCAAACGGG